This 253-nucleotide ribosomal RNA is filed under the name uncultured bacterium. Its description in RNAcentral is "partial 16S ribosomal RNA". It matches the Rfam family "Bacterial small subunit ribosomal RNA", at positions 524 to 776 of the family's 1533-position model. The record is from RNAcentral.
UACGUAGGUGGCAAGCGUUGUCCGGAAUUACUGGGUGUAAAGGGUGCGUAGGCGGGUAUGCAAGUCAGGUGUGAAAUUCCGAGGCUCAACUUCGGAACUGCACAUGAAACUGCAUAUCUUGAGUGAAGGAGAGGUAAGCGGAAUUCCCAGUGUAGCGGUGAAAUGCGUAGAUAUUGGGAGGAACACCAGUGGCGAAGGCGGCUUACUGGACUUUAACUGACGCUGAUGCACGAAAGCGUGGGUAGCAAACAGG